GUUGUUGCAGUUAAAAAGCUCGUAGUUGAAUUUCGGGGUUAGUAGGUUGGUCAUGCCUCUGGUAUGUACUGGUCUCACUGAUUCCUCCUUCCUGAUGAACCGUAAUGCCAUUAAUUUGGUGUUGCGGGGAAUUUGGACUGUUACUUUGAAAAAAUUAGAGUGUUUAAAGCAGGCUAACGCUUGAAUACAUUAGCAUGGAAUAAUGAAAUAGGACGUUCGAU
RNAcentral lists this ribosomal RNA (221 nucleotides) under uncultured fungus. Its description in RNAcentral is "partial 18S ribosomal RNA". It matches the Rfam family "Eukaryotic small subunit ribosomal RNA", at positions 609 to 835 of the family's 1831-position model. Lineage: Eukaryota; Fungi. The record is from RNAcentral.